Molecule: ribosomal RNA, 659 nt
Filed under: uncultured fungus
Lineage: Eukaryota; Fungi
Description: eukaryotic LSU rRNA
Rfam family: 5.8S ribosomal RNA (bases 246-399)
Source: RNAcentral
CUUGGUCAUUUAGAGGAAGUAAAAGUCGUAACAAGGUUUCCGUAGGUGAACCUGCGGAAGGAUCAUUAGAGAAUCAGAGCGGGCUUGAGUCCCGUAUCUCACUCUAUAACACACUGUGAACUGUUUCGGUCGGUCGAGGUAAAACUCGGUCGGGGGCGCCGCAAUUGAAUUUGCCACCCAAAUUAUCUUUUUAAACACCAAGUUAUGGAUGUCAACACCGCAGGGUGUAUUAUAAAAAGUUAAACAACUUUCAGCAACGGAUCUCUAGGCUCUCGCAUCGAUGAAGAACGCAGCGAAAUGCGAUACGUAAUGUGAAUUGCAGAAUUCAGUGAAUCAUCGAAUCUUUGAACGCAUCUUGCGCUCCGGGGUAUUCCUCGGAGCAUGCCUGUUUGAGUGUCGUGGAAAUCUCAACCCCGCCGGGUUUUUAUUCGGYAGAUGGGCUUUGGAUCGUGACUGUUUGCUGGCCUUGUAAUGAGACCCAGCUCGGUCGAAAUACAAGAGUGGCUGAUUCCCAAUCCGGCCUGACUCGGCGUGAUAAUCACACUUCGCCGAUUACGGAUGGGGUGAUAAAGGCUGCUUCCAAGAUAUAUUACUUUUGAACUAGACCUCAAAUCAGGUAGGACUACCCGCUGAACUUAAGCAUAUCAAUAAGCGGAGGA